UACGUAGGGGGCGAGCGUUGUCCGGAUUUAUUGGGCGUAAAGAGCGUGUAGGCGGUUCGGUAAGUCUGUCGUGAAAUCCUGAGGCUCAACCUCGGGCGUGCGAUGGAUACUGCCGGGCUAGAGGAUGGUAGAGGCGAGUGGAAUUCCCGGUGUAGCGGUGAAAUGCGCAGAUAUCAGGAGGAACACCAGCGGCGAAGGCGGCGCUCUGGGCUGGAACUGACGCUGAGGAGCGAAAGCGUGGGGAGCGAACAGG
This 253-nucleotide ribosomal RNA is filed under the name uncultured bacterium. RNAcentral's name for it is "partial 16S ribosomal RNA". It matches the Rfam family "Bacterial small subunit ribosomal RNA", at positions 524 to 776 of the family's 1533-position model. The record is from RNAcentral.